This 795-nucleotide ribosomal RNA is filed under the name uncultured Sporocytophaga sp. RNAcentral's name for it is "SSU rRNA". It matches the Rfam family "Bacterial small subunit ribosomal RNA", at positions 74 to 874 of the family's 1533-position model. Lineage: Bacteria; Pseudomonadati; Bacteroidota; Cytophagia; Cytophagales; Cytophagaceae. The record is from RNAcentral.
UGGUUUUCGGACCAAGAGACCGGCGCACGGGUGCGUAACGCGUAUGCAAUCUACCUUUUACAGAGGGAUAGCCCAGAGAAAUUUGGAUUAAUACCUCAUAGCAUAGCAGCUUCGCAUGAAGCCACUAUUAAAGUCACAACGGUAAAAGAUGAGCAUGCGUCCCAUUAGCUAGUUGGUAAGGUAACGGCUUACCAAGGCUACGAUGGGUAGGGGUCCUGAGAGGGAGAUCCCCCACACUGGUACUGAGACACGGACCAGACUCCUACGGGAGGCAGCAGUGAGGAAUAUUGGACAAUGGGCGCAAGCCUGAUCCAGCCAUGCCGCGUGCAGGAUGACGGUCCUAUGGAUUGUAAACUGCUUUUAUACAGGAAGAAACACUCCGACGUGUCGGAGCUUGACGGUACUGUAAGAAUAAGGAUCGGCUAACUCCGUGCCAGCAGCCGCGGUAAUACGGAGGAUCCAAGCGUUAUCCGGAAUCAUUGGGUUUAAAGGGUCCGUAGGCGGUUUAAUAAGUCAGUGGUGAAAGCCCAUCGCUCAACGGUGGAACGGCCAUUGAUACUGUUAGACUUGAAUUAUUAGGAAGUAACUAGAAUAUGUAGUGUAGCGGUGAAAUGCUUAGAGAUUACAUGGAAUACCAAUUGCGAAGGCAGGUUACUACUAAUGGAUUGACGCUGAUGGACGAAAGCGUGGGUAGCGAACAGGAUUAGAUACCCUGGUAGUCCACGCCGUAAACGAUGGAUACUAGCUGUUGGAAGCAAUUUCAGUGGCUAAGCGAAAGUGAUAAGUAUCCCACCU